CCUACGGGGGGCAGCAGUGGGGAAUAUUGCACAAUGGGGGAAACCCUGAUGCAGCAACGCCGCGUGAGUGAAGAAGUAUUUCGGUAUGUAAAGCUCUAUCAGCAGGGAAGAAGAUGACGGUACCUGAUUAAGAAGCCCCGGCUAACUACGUGCCAGCAGCCGCGGUAAUACGUAGGGGGCAAGCGUUAUCCGGAUUUACUGGGUGUAAAGGGAGCGUAGACGGCAGUGCAAGUCUGGAGUGAAAGCCCGGGGCCCAACCCCGGAACUGCUCUGGAAACUGUGCGGCUAGAGUGCUGGAGGGGCAGGUGGAAUUCCUAGUGUAGCGGUGAAAUGCGUAGAUAUUAGGAGGAACACCAGUGGCGAAGGCGGCUUACUGGACUGUAACUGACGUUGAGGCUCGAAAGCGUGGGGAGCAAACAGGAUUAGAUACCCGAGUAGUC
This 440-nucleotide ribosomal RNA is filed under the name uncultured bacterium. Its description in RNAcentral is "partial 16S ribosomal RNA". It matches the Rfam family "Bacterial small subunit ribosomal RNA", at positions 338 to 795 of the family's 1533-position model. The record is from RNAcentral.